CGCCCCCCAAUCACGAGCCCCUCCUCCCUUCCCGAGGGCGAUCCAAAGGCUCUGCUCUAUCAUCUUUGAUCCGAGGAGCUGGACCACGAGGCGUGCGGGGAUGUCAGGUUUAGGAGCCGUUGCUGCGGACGGAGAGAUGGGAACGUGAGCGGCCACUGAGGGCGGCCAGGGUGCCGGUGAGGUCCCCCCUCUGCUCGGUGUGCAGGCUGAGCUUCGGUGGAUGACCACAUGACGGGGCACAACAAGGAGAAACGUUAUGAGUGCGACAUGUGUGUCAAGGCCUGUCAGCACCGCGGGAGCUGCAGAUCCACCGGCGGGUGCAAACGGGAGAACGUCUCUUCGACUGUUCGACGUGUGGCAAGAAAACCAGCCAAUUCACCAACCUGCUGCAGCACAACCGCAUGCACUCCGGCGAGCGGUCCCUCACCUCCUCAGACUGCGGCAAGAGCUUCAAGAGGACCACUCAGCUGAAGAUCCGCCGGCAAGUGCAAAAGGUCGAGAAGUCCUUUGACUGCUCCACCUGCGGCAAGAGCUUUACCCAGCUGUCAGGGCGACGUCAGCAUCGGCGGGUGCACAGCAGUGAGAGGCCCUUCAUCUGCUCCAACUGCGGCAAAGCCUUCACGUCGUCGCCGGACUGAAGAUGCACAGGUGCCUGCACACCAGUGAGCGGCCCUGCACCUGCAGCGACUGCGGCAAGAGCUUCACCUGCUCCAGCAGGCUGCUGGAGCACCAGCGCACCAACACCGGCGAGCGCCCCUACACCUGCGCCUAGUGCGGCAUGGGCUUCACCACUCCUCCAGGCUGCUGUCCCACCAUCAUACAUAUUAACAGCGGCUGCUCCCUCUGUUUCAAGAGCGCACGGGGGCUGCGGGAGGACCAACAUAUACAGACCAUGAUGGAGAAGGUGACGGGGACAUGAGUGGCCAUUGAUGGCAACCAGGGUGCCCGUUAACGCACCCCCCCCCCCCCCCCCCCACCUGCUCCGUGUGCAGGAUGAGCUUUGAGGGGCUGAGCUUCGAUGGAGGACCCCAUGACGGGGCACAACACGCAGAAGCGUUAUGAGAGCGACGUUUGUGGCAAGGCCUGGCAGCACCUAAGCCAGCUGGAGAUCCACCAGCGGGUGCACACGGGAGUAUGACAAGAACUUCACCCUAUACGAGACCCUGGUACGGCACAACCACUUGUACUCCAGCGAGUCACCCUUCGACUGCUCAGGCUGCGGCAAGAGCUUCACCCGCUCCAACAACCUGCUGGAGCACCAGCGCACCCACACCAGUGAGCACCCCUUCACCCGCGCCCAGCAUGGCAAGGGCUUCACCCACUCAUCCAAGCUGCUGUCCCACCAGCAGGUACACACCGGCGACCGUCCCUUCUCCAGGCCCUUCGGCUGCUCCGACUGUAGCAAGAACUUCAACACAGCAUAUGAACUGAAGGCCCACCGGCGAUUCGUCGAGGCUGGGGGUGCACUGGUGGUGUGGAAGAAAAAAUUAUAUCCUUCCUGACUUGAUUUUGAUUGGAAUUGAACAAGGAAAUUAAAGGGUGUUUGGAUGUAACAACUGGCAGCUCUCGCUUGACCAGGUGCAGAAGAGGUACGUGGGAAUCGGCAAAGUAAGACUAGACGUAUUACGUGUUGUCUGGAAAUGUGUUGCAUGGUGGAUGGUAAAUGUAAACAUGAAAUAGUAGAGGAGAUAACGAAGCUUGUUUUCCCUUCUGUGAGGAGUUACUUGAUCACCCCCGUCCCCUACCGCUAGUAGCGUAGAUACGUUGCAGUAAAUGGGAAGCUAAUGUUUGGUUGGAGAGGAGAUGGUGGCGUGGGCCGCCUGAAAGGCCCUUGUAUUGUGUUUGACUUGUAUUAACCAUCUGUUGUUGAAUAAGAUUAACAUAAGCGUGUUAUGACAUAUGAAAUAAUUGGGACCUAUAUAGUAGAUAUAAUAUUUUCAUAUCGCUGUAUCUAACAAAAGUUGUUUACUGCACAGUAAAAACUGUCGGCUAAUUCUGCUGUGAAGUCAGAGAACUGUUGAGUAAUUUUUAUGGAGUCAUCUCUCCAUGAUAUCAUGCAAUAAAAUCUCGAAGCAAA
Leucoraja erinaceus (little skate) is the source of this 2077-nucleotide long non-coding RNA. RefSeq lists it as uncharacterized. The record is from RefSeq and is a predicted model, not a curated record. Lineage: Eukaryota; Metazoa; Chordata; Chondrichthyes; Rajiformes; Rajidae. The transcript is spliced from 3 exons.